RNAcentral lists this unclassified non-coding RNA (210 nucleotides) under Leucotelium pruni-persicae. RNAcentral's name for it is "ITS1". The record is from RNAcentral. Lineage: Eukaryota; Fungi; Basidiomycota; Pucciniomycetes; Pucciniales; Raveneliaceae.
AUGAAAAAAAAAUGAGUGCACUUAAUUGUGGCUCAGACCCAUUUUUUCUUAACACCCAAAAAAUGGCUCUUUAACAUGUUCUGAAGAGAAAAAAGGUUUUUUUUUUUUGAAGAGCAUAGUUAAUUGGCAAAAGCAAAUAUGAAUUUAUUUGCAUUAUUUAUAUUACAAUCAAGUUUGAAGAAUGUAUAACCCCCCAAUAAUAUAUAUAUA